RNAcentral lists this small nucleolar RNA (75 nucleotides) under Homo sapiens (human). RNAcentral describes it as "small nucleolar RNA SNORD82". It matches the Rfam family "Small nucleolar RNA SNORD82". From Rfam's summary of the family: snoRNA U82 or Z25 is found in both humans and mice. Lineage: Eukaryota; Metazoa; Chordata; Mammalia; Primates; Hominidae. The record is from RNAcentral.
ACAGCACAAAUGAUGAAUAACAAAGGGACUUAAUACUGAAACCUGAUGUUACAUUGUAGUGUGCUGAUGUGCUGU